CCUACGGGAGGCAGCAGUGGGGAAUAUUGCACAAUGGGGGGAACCCUGAUGCAGCAACGCCGCGUGAGUGAAGAAGUAUUUCGGUAUGUAAAGCUCUAUCAGCAGGGAAGAAGAUGACGGUACCUGAGUAAGAAGCCCCGGCUAAAUACGUGCCAGCAGCCGCGGUAAUACGUAGGGGGCAAGCGUUAUCCGGGUUUACGGGGUGUAAAGGGAGCGUAGACGGGGAGGUAAGCCUGAAGUGGAAGCCCGCGGCCCAACCGCGGAACUGCUUUGGGAACUGGUUGGCUGGAGUAGGGGAGGGGUAAGCGGAAUUCCUGGUGUAGCGGUGAAAUGCGUAGAUAUCAGGAGGAACACCGGUGGCGAAGGCGGCUUACUGGACCAUAACUGACGUUGAGGCUCGAAAGCGUGGGGAGCGAACAGGAUUAGAUACCCUGGUAGUC
RNAcentral lists this ribosomal RNA (440 nucleotides) under uncultured bacterium. RNAcentral's name for it is "partial 16S ribosomal RNA". It matches the Rfam family "Bacterial small subunit ribosomal RNA", at positions 338 to 795 of the family's 1533-position model. The record is from RNAcentral.